UAGGGAAUAUUGGACAAUGGGGGCAACCCUGAUCCAGCCAUGCCGCGUGAGUGAAGAAGGCCCUCGGGUUGUAAAGCUCUUUUGUCCGGAAAGAAAAGCUUCGGGUUAAUACCCCGGGGUUCUGACGGUACCGGAAGAAUAAGCACCGGCUAACUUCGUGCCAGCAGCCGCGGUAAUACGAAGGGUGCAAGCGUUACUCGGAAUUACUGGGCGUAAAGCGUGCGUAGGUGGUUGUUUAAGUCUGAUGUGAAAGCCCUGGGCUCAACCUGGGAAUGGCAUUGGAAACUGGGCAGCUAGAGUGCGGCAGAGGGUAGUGGAAUUCCCGGUGUAGCAGUGAAAUGCGUAGAGAUCGGGAGGAACAUCUGUGGCGAAGGCGACUGCCUGGACCAGCACUGACACUGAGGCACGAAAGCGUGGGGAGCAAACA
This 427-nucleotide ribosomal RNA is filed under the name uncultured bacterium. Its description in RNAcentral is "bacterial SSU rRNA". It matches the Rfam family "Bacterial small subunit ribosomal RNA", at positions 355 to 774 of the family's 1533-position model. The record is from RNAcentral.